Molecule: ribosomal RNA, 500 nt
Filed under: uncultured bacterium
Lineage: Bacteria
Description: partial 16S ribosomal RNA
Rfam family: Bacterial small subunit ribosomal RNA
Source: RNAcentral
AUUGAACGCUGGCGGCAUGCCUUACACAUGCAAGUCGAACGGCAGCACGGGAGCAAUCCUGGUGGCGAGUGGCGAACGGGUGAGUAAAGUAUCGGAACGUGCCCAGUCGUGGGGGAUAACGUAGCGAAAGCUACGCUAAUACCGCAUACGAUCUAUGGAUGAAAGCGGGGGAUCGCAAGACCUCGCGCGAUUGGAGCGGCCGAUAUCAGAUUAGGUAGUUGGUGGGGUAAAGGCCCACCAAGCCGACGAUCUGUAGCUGGUCUGAGAGGACGACCAGCCACACUGGGACUGAGACACGGCCCAGACUCCUACGGGAGGCAGCAGUGGGGAAUUUUGGACAAUGGGCGCAAGCCUGAUCCAGCAAUGCCGCGUGCAGGAUGAAGGCCUUCGGGUUGUAAACUGCUUUUGUACGGAACGAAACGGUGAGCUCUAGUACAGUUUGCUAAUGACGGUACCGUAAGAAUAAGCACCGGCUAACUACGUGCCAGCAGCCGCUGUAA